AGCAGCCGCGGUAAUUCCAGCUCCAAUAGCGUAUAUUAAAGUUGUUGCAGUUAAAAAGCUCGUAGUUGAAUUUCGGGGUCAGCAGGUUGGUCGUGCCAAUGGUAUGCACUGGCCUUGCUGAUUCCUCCCUCUUGAUGAGCCGUAAUGUCAUUAAUUUGGUGUUGCGGGGAAUCAGGACUGUUACUUUGAAAAAAUUAGAGUGUUUAAAGCAGGCAAGCGCUUGAAUACAUUAGCAUGGAAUAAUGAAAUAGGACGUUUGAUCCUAUUUUGUUGGUUUCUAGGAUUGACGUAAUGAUUAAUAGGGAUAGUUGGGGGCAUUAGUAUUCAAUUGUCAGAGGUGAAAUUCUUGGAUUUAUUGAAGACUAACUACUGCGAAAGCAUUUGCCAAGGAUGUUUUCAUUAAUCAAGAACGAAAGUUAGGGGAUCGAAGACGAUCAGAUACCGUCGUAGUCUUAACCAUAAACUAUGCCGACUAGGGAUUCGGAUGAUGUUAAUUUUAUAAUGAA
RNAcentral lists this ribosomal RNA (506 nucleotides) under uncultured Glomus. RNAcentral describes it as "SSU rRNA". It matches the Rfam family "Eukaryotic small subunit ribosomal RNA", at positions 569 to 1078 of the family's 1831-position model. Lineage: Eukaryota; Fungi; Glomeromycota; Glomeromycetes; Glomerales; Glomeraceae. The record is from RNAcentral.